GAUGAACGCUAGCUACAGGCUUAACACAUGCAAGUCGCGGGGUAACAUCUGGUAGAGCUUGCUCUUCCAGGAUGACGACCGGCGCACGGGUGAGUAACGCGUAUCCAACCUGGCCCAUACCACGGGAUAGCCCGUCGAAAGGCGGAUUAAUACCGUAUGCUGUCAUUAAGAUGCAUAUAUUGAUGACGAAAGGACUGGCGGUAUGGGAUGGGGAUGCGUCUGAUUAGCUUGUUGGCGGGGUAACGGCCCACCAAGGCGACGAUCAGUAGGGGUUCUGAGAGGAAGGUCCCCCACAUUGGAACUGAGACACGGUCCAAACUCCUACGGGAGGCAGCAGUGAGGAAUAUUGGUCAAUGGGCGAGAGCCUGAACCAGCCAAGUAGCGUGCAGGAUGACGGCCCUAUGGGUUGUAAACUGCUUUUAUAAGGGAAUAAAGUGGGUCUCGUGAGACUUUUUGCAUGUACCUUAUGAAUAAGGACCGGCUAAUUCCGUGCCAGCAG
RNAcentral lists this ribosomal RNA (499 nucleotides) under uncultured bacterium. Its description in RNAcentral is "bacterial SSU rRNA". It matches the Rfam family "Bacterial small subunit ribosomal RNA", at positions 28 to 514 of the family's 1533-position model. The record is from RNAcentral.